UAAGGAAUAUUGGUCAAUGGACGCAAGUCUGAACCAGCCAUGCCGCGUGAAGGAUGAAGGUCCUCUGGAUUGUAAACUUCUUUUAUCUGGGACGAAAACGGGAUUUUUAUCUCAAUUGACGGUACCAGAGGAAUAAGCACCGGCUAACUCCGUGCCAGCAGCCGCGGUAAUACGGAGGGUGCGAGCGUUAUCCGGAUUUACUGGGUUUAAAGGGUGCGUAGGUGGGCUUAUAAGUCAGUGGUGAAAUCUCCGAGCUUAACUUGGAAACUGCCGUUGAUACUAUAGGUCUUGAAUUAUCUGGAGGUAAGCGGAAGAUGUCAUGUAGCGGUGAAAUGCUUAGAUAUGACAUAGAACACCAAUUGCGAAGGCAGGUUACUACAUAUAAAUUGACGCUGAGGCACGAAAGCGUGGGG
This 413-nucleotide ribosomal RNA is filed under the name uncultured bacterium. RNAcentral's name for it is "bacterial SSU rRNA". It matches the Rfam family "Bacterial small subunit ribosomal RNA", at positions 355 to 766 of the family's 1533-position model. The record is from RNAcentral.